GUCCUUGUAGCGCAAUGGAUAGCGCGUUGGACUUCUAAUCCAAAAGUCGUGGGUUCGAAUCCACCUGGGAUG
Molecule: non-coding RNA, 72 nt
Organism: Trichonephila inaurata madagascariensis
Lineage: Eukaryota; Metazoa; Arthropoda; Arachnida; Araneae; Nephilidae
Source: the annotation of a GenBank genome assembly